GAUGAACGCUGGCGGCGUGCCUAAUACAUGCAAGUCGAGCGAACGGACGAGAAGCUUGCUUUUCUGAUGUUAGCGGCGGACGGGUGAGUAACACGUGGAUAACCUACCUAUAAGACUGGGAUAACUUCGGGAAACCGGAGCUAAUACCGGAUAAUAUUCUGAACCGCAUGGUUCAAAAGUGAAAGACGGUCUUGCUGUCACUUAUAGAUGGAUCCGGGCUGCAUUAGCUAGUUGGUAAGGUAACGGCUUAUCAAGGCAACGAUGCAUAGCCGACCUGAGAGAGGGAUAGGCCGCACUGGAACUGAGACACCGUCAAGACUCCUACGGGAGGCAGCAGUAGGGAAUCUUCCGCAAUGGGCGAAAGCCUGACGGAGCAACGCCGAGUGAGUGAUGAAGGUCUUCGGAUCGUAAAACUCUGUUAUUAGGGAAGAACAUAUGUGUAAGUAACUGUGCACAUCUUGACGGUACCUAAUCAGAAAGCCACGGCUAACUACGUG
RNAcentral lists this ribosomal RNA (497 nucleotides) under uncultured bacterium. RNAcentral's name for it is "partial 16S ribosomal RNA". It matches the Rfam family "Bacterial small subunit ribosomal RNA", at positions 28 to 507 of the family's 1533-position model. The record is from RNAcentral.